UGCAAGUCGAGCGAGAAAGGGCUUCGGCCCCAGUACAGCGGCGCACGGGUGAGUAACACGUAGGUCAUCAACCCUCGAGUGGUGGAUAACUCUCCGAAAGGAGAGCUAAUACAGCAUGAUGCCAGCAAUGGCCAAAGCGGGCCUCUCCAUGGAAGCUCGCGCUAGAGGAUGAGCCUGCGGCCCAUCAGGUAGUUGGCGGAGUAAUAGCCCACCAAGCCAUAGACGGGUAGCUGGUCUGAGAGGAUGAACAGCCACACUGGAACUGAGACACGGUCCAGACUCCUACGGGAGGCAGCAGUCGGGAAUCUUCCGCAAUGGGCGAAAGCCUGACGGAGCGACGCCGCGUGAGCGAUGAAGGCCUUCGGGUUGUAAAGCUCUGUGGGGAGGGAAGAAUAAGUUCAGGCGAAUACCCUGAAUGAUGACGGUACCUCCUUAGCAAGCACCGGCUAACUCUGUGCCAGCAGCCGCGGUAAGACAGAGGGUGCAAACGUUGUUCGGAUUUACUGGGCGUAAAGCGCGUGUAGGCGGCUUGGCAAGUUGAAUGUGAAAGCCCACGGCUCAACCGUGGAAGCGCAUCCAAAACUGCUUCGCUCGAGUCUCGGAGAGGAAGGUGGAAUGCUUGGUGUAGAGGUGAAAUUCGUAGAUAUCAAGCAGAACACCUGCGGCGAANGCGGCCUUCUGGACGAUGACUGACGCUGAGACGCGAAAGCGUGGGGAGCAAACAGGAUUAGAUACCCUGGUAGUCCCACGCCGUAAACGAUGAGUGCUAGGUGUCACGGGCUUUGACCCUCGUGGUGCCGUAGCUAACGCAAUAAGCACUCCGCCUGGG
Molecule: ribosomal RNA, 829 nt
Filed under: uncultured bacterium
Lineage: Bacteria
Description: bacterial SSU rRNA
Rfam family: Bacterial small subunit ribosomal RNA
Source: RNAcentral